Long non-coding RNA from Trichechus manatus latirostris (Florida manatee), 1135 nucleotides. RefSeq lists it as uncharacterized. The transcript has 2 exons. The record is from RefSeq and is a predicted model, not a curated record. NCBI's taxonomy places the organism in Eukaryota, Metazoa, Chordata, Mammalia, Sirenia, Trichechidae.
GUGAGGGCACGGUUAGCAAACAAAUGUAGAAGGCAUGCGUUAUUUGUAUAAAAAUACGGUAGUUGAAUCCUGAAAAUGAAACAUUAAGAAAAUAUGUAUGUAGAACUAUCUACAGUAUCAGACCCUUUAUAUGACAUGAUGAAAUGCUUAAAUACAAGAAGCUUUUCUACCUAUAUAAAGUUGCAUGUUAUAGGUUAUAUUAAUUAGGAUUUUUUGGUUUUGAGUAACAGAAACCUAAUUCAAACAAGCUUAAGAAAAAAAAAAGGGUGGCAGGAUUUUGUGGCUUGGUAACUGAAAAACCAAGGCCAAGCUAGAUCCUGGAAGUCAGAGAUGUCAUCAGAACUCUCUUUUUCACUCCCUCAGCUCUGCUUGCCUCUGCUGAUUUCUUCUUUACUUCAUUUUCAGAGCUCUUUCCACUCAGGGGCAAGAUGGUCCCCAGCAGUCUCAAGCUGCCAUGGCCCUUGUAGGCUUCUAUCUAGAAAAUGACAAUGUAUCUUUUCUUACAAUACCAAAAAGUCUCAGGGAGGACACUGAUUAAUCUGUCUUGGGUCACAUUUCUAUCUAGGAACCAUCACUGUGGCCAGGUGGAUGGGGUACUCAGACCAGGCCCAAGUCAUAAGCUCACCAUGAGAAGGCAGGGUCUGCCUUACGGAACCAUCUAGACAUAAGUUGCAUUAACAUGGAACAUGGACUGGAGGGGAGAUGAGAUUCUCCAGAGUACAUUCUGCUAAAUAGAAAAUUAAAAUAUCCCCUAUAGAGUUGCAAAGAUUUAGUGCCUUCUUUCUUUUUAGCCUUUCUCUUUGUGACUUUUUUUCAAGAGAUGGGUUCUCAGGUUCUUGUCUCCAGUAAGAUAGUAGCUGCCCCUCCUUUGUUUUUUUUUAGUAGAGAUUAGAAAUAAGGACUUUAUAGCCUUGCCUGUUCUAAAAGCUCAGAACAAGAAGAGAAAAAGCCCAGUGAUUUUGGAGUUGAGAAGAAACUGGAACUUGACUCCUGAUUCUGUGACCUUGAGCUUCAUAGAGGAACUGAAAUACUCCUGUAUUAAAAGUAAUAUAAACUACAGAAAGUAAAGUUUUCUUGCUGGAGGGGAUAUGCAGAAGAUGGAGUGAGAAAGCAUGAGCAUUAUGGAUAAUAAAGG